Molecule: ribosomal RNA, 292 nt
Filed under: uncultured bacterium
Lineage: Bacteria
Description: partial 16S ribosomal RNA
Source: RNAcentral
GGACUACUGGGGUAUCUAAUCCUGUUUGCUCCCCACGCUUUCGCGUCUCAGCGUCAGUACCUUCCCAGAUGGCCGCCUUCGCCACCGGUGUUCCUCCCAAUAUCUACGAAUUUCACCUCUACACUGGGAAUUCCGCCAUCCUCGUCAGGACUCCAGCUUGCCAGUUUCGGACGCACUUCCAUGGUUGAGCCAUGGGUUUUCACAACCGACUUAACAAGCCGCCUACACGCGCUUUACGCCCAAUAAUUCCGAGCAACGUUCGCACCCUCUGUAUUACCGCGGCUGCUGGCAC